CUUUGUUGUCCAGAAAAGAGAGAAGAUCAACAUUAGAAAGAAUAAUAUUAAGGACUUCUGAUCACUAUUAGAAGGCUCUGUUUCAUCCAAAUCCCCUGGCAAAGCCUAGCAGGGGGAGAGGGAACGGGGGCAGUCCACGCGGAGGUAGCAAGACUACACCCCUCACCCCACACCUCCCUGGACCUCGCGCUGCUGUUCCGGUUCGGGAAAAAUUUCUCGUAAAAUGCGGUGGAGACGCUUCACUCCAGACGGAGAAUAAGAGGAAGAUAAGAAAGCAGGUUCUGUAUGACCUCAUGCUGGAUAUUACUUUAGAAGACUCUGUAACUAUUGGCUUGAAGCCCAGCAGCAGUUGCCCACCCGGGGCUGUGAGCGGGUAACUUCUGCGCUGUUGGUGUUACACUUACAGUAUGUAUAUGGACUGUGUGUGACAUCGUGUGCGCGUGUGUGUGUCUGUGCAUGUGCUAGGAGGAACGUGUUCUGCAGCUGAAGCUCGCACCAGUCGCGGGAGGGCCAUCGAGCGCGAGCGGACGAGGGGGGAGGUUUCGGGGUUGGUGGUCUGGG
Molecule: long non-coding RNA, 561 nt
Filed under: Scleropages formosus (Asian bonytongue)
Lineage: Eukaryota; Metazoa; Chordata; Actinopteri; Osteoglossiformes; Osteoglossidae
Description: lncRNA (ENSSFOG00015025406.1)
Source: RNAcentral